RNAcentral lists this ribosomal RNA (427 nucleotides) under uncultured Pseudoxanthomonas sp. RNAcentral describes it as "bacterial SSU rRNA". It matches the Rfam family "Bacterial small subunit ribosomal RNA", at positions 355 to 774 of the family's 1533-position model. The record is from RNAcentral. Lineage: Bacteria; Pseudomonadati; Pseudomonadota; Gammaproteobacteria; Lysobacterales; Lysobacteraceae.
UGGGGAAUCUUGGACCAUGGGCGCAAGCCUGAUCCAGCCAUACCGCGUGGGUGACGAAGGCCAUCGGGUUGUAAAGCCCUUUUGUUGGGAAAGAAAUCCUAUCGAUUAAUACUCGGUGGGGAUGACGGUACCCAAAGAAUAAGCACCGGCUAACUUCGUGCCAGCAGCCGCGGUAAUACGAAGGGUGCAAGCGUUACUCGGAAUUACUGGGCGUAAAGCGUGCGUAGGUGGUGGUUUAAGUCUGUCGUGAAAGCCCUGGGCUCAACCUGGGAAUUGCGAUGGAUACUGGAUCACUAGAGUGUGGUAGAGGGAUGCGGAAUGUCCGGUGUAGCAGUGAAAGGCGUAGAGAUCGGAAGGAACAUCUGUGGCGAAGGCGGCAUCCUGGGCCAACACUGACACUGAGGCACGAAAGCGUGGGGAGCAAACA